Molecule: ribosomal RNA, 489 nt
Filed under: uncultured bacterium
Lineage: Bacteria
Description: bacterial SSU rRNA
Rfam family: Bacterial small subunit ribosomal RNA
Source: RNAcentral
GAACGCUGGCGGCAGGCCUAACACAUGCAAGUCGAGCGGUAACAGAAAGAAAGCUUGCUUUCUUUGCUGACGAGCGGCGGACGGGUGAGUAAUGCCUGGGAAUAUGCCUUAGUGUGGGGGAUAACUAUUGGAAACGAUAGCUAAUACCGCAUAACGUCUUCGGACCAAAGAGGGGGACCUUCGGGCCUCUCGCGCUAAGAUUAGCCCAGGUGGGAUUAGCUAGUUGGUGAGGUAAAGGCUCACCAAGGCAACGAUCCCUAGCUGGUCUGAGAGGAUGAUCAGCCACACUGGAACUGAGACACGGUCCAGACUCCUACGGGAGGCAGCAGUGGGGAAUAUUGCACAAUGGGGGAAACCCUGAUGCAGCCAUGCCGCGUGUAUGAAGAAGGCCUUCGGGUUGUAAAGUACUUUCAGUCGUGAGGAAGGCAUUGUAGUUAAUAGCUGCAGUGCCUGACGUUAGCGACAGAAGAAGCACCGGCUAACUCCGUG